GACGAACGCUGGCGGCGUGCCUAAUACAUGCAAGUAGAACGCUGAAGGAGGAGCUUGCUCUUCUGGAUGAGUUGCGAACGGGUGAGUAACGCGUAGGUAACCUGCCUGGUAGCGGGGGAUAACUAUUGGAAACGAUAGCUAAUACCGCAUAACAGUAGAUGUUGCAUGACAUUUACUUAAAAGGUGCAAUUGCAUCACUACCAGAUGGACCUGCGUUGUAUUAGCUAGUUGGUGGGGUAACGGCUCACCAAGGCGACGAUACAUAGCCGACCUGGGAGGGUGAGCGGCCACACUGGGACUGAGACACGGCCCAGACUCCUACGGGAGGCAGCAGUAGGGAAUCUUCGGCAAUGGACGGAAGUCUGACCGAGCAACGCCGCGGGAGGGAAGAAGGUUUUCGGAUCGUAAAGCUCGGUUGUAAGAGAAGAACGAGUGUGAGAGUGGAAAGUUCACACUGUGACGGUAUCUUACCAGAAAGGGACGGCUAACUACGUG
This 495-nucleotide ribosomal RNA is filed under the name uncultured bacterium. RNAcentral describes it as "partial 16S ribosomal RNA". It matches the Rfam family "Bacterial small subunit ribosomal RNA", at positions 28 to 507 of the family's 1533-position model. The record is from RNAcentral.